CAACCCAACAGCAGUAGAUAGCAAAAGGAAAGAAAGAAAGGGGAGAAAGGAGAUAGCUCGGGAACAAAGAAGAGAAUAGACUGCACCGCGUCUUGCUGCUUCAUCGCCGCUGCAUCCUGCUGUCGCCGCCAUCCCUGUCGCACGCGAGAGAGCCGUCGAGCUCGAGGGUGAAAGACGUGCGUGAGAGAGAGAGGAGUCGCGCUGUUGCCGCCGUCCAACCCGCCUCUCCAUUGUCGUCGUCGCCUCAAGCUCAUCGCCCUUUGUCACUGUCGCAAGCUUUGUCGCGCUUUGCCAUUGUCAUAAGCUCGUCUUCCUGCUUUGGCCAUCAACGCCUCCUUAGCUGUGAGUUGGUCUCUGCGUAGGUGAAACAUUACAAGAUGAGUGAACAAAUGGAGGUGUAUUUGUUGGUGUUGAUGGUGCUCAGAUCCCUCACAAGCUAAUACACAGUCGGUUUGGAUUACGUCAGUUCUUAGAUUCAUUUGGUGGAACAUAACAUUUCAAUAUUAAUAAGAAAUAGCAACUACUUUGCCACAAAUAAUUGCACAAGAGAAAGAAUACAUAAGGCCACAACUAGAUGUAAAGCUCAGCCAUUUAGCUUCUGGUACUGAUUCAAGCACUUCUAUUCAGACAACAGAAACAAAGCUUGCUGACCUUCUGGAUAGCACACUUUGGAAUCACAGGCUCGCUCCUUCAUCUGAAAGGAUUGUUUAUGGUUUGGUACAACAAAUAUUUCAUGGCAUUAGAGAAUAUUUCUUAGUUUCCACAAAAUUAAAGGUUUGACAUGUUAAAAUUUGAAUACUAUAGUUUUCAAAGGAUGAGAAGAAUAUGUACUAUAUUAGAGAAUAUUUCUUAGUUUUCAUAGUAUUUGAUGUCUUUUGUAAUUUUUUUAAGAGCCUUUACCUGGUAGUAUAUGUAAUGGAUAAAUUAUACGAUAUUUUAAUUUGUGUUGUUUGGACUAAAAAUAUAUCUAGCUUAUAAUCUAAAUUUUUAUGAUUUAUGUUUCUUGAAUUUCUCCUUUUAGACUGAUAUUAUGAUUAUCAUAAUUUUAGGAACUGAUUAUUCUUUAAAAAAAUCUCAAAAAACAAAGUAAACUAUGGUCACAGUUUUAAAAUAGGGUGACCAUAGAUAAGGUUAUGGUCACGGUUUCCAUAGAUAAGGCUAUGGUCACAGUUUUAAAAAAGGGUGACUAUAGAGUAAACUAUGGUCAUGGUUUUUGAGUAGGGUGACCAUAGAUAAACUAUGGUCAUGGUUUUACAAAAGGUGACCAUAGAGUAAGUUAUGGUCACGGUUUUUUAGUAGGGUGACCAUAGAAUAAGCUAUGGUCACGGUUUUAAAGUAGGGUGACCAUCGAUACCUAUGGUCACGCUAAAACCGUCACUAUAGAUUAAGCUAUGGUCACAGUAUAAA
Molecule: long non-coding RNA, 1407 nt
Organism: Arachis duranensis
Lineage: Eukaryota; Viridiplantae; Streptophyta; Magnoliopsida; Fabales; Fabaceae
Exons: 3
Source: RefSeq, a predicted model, not a curated record